This 327-nucleotide ribosomal RNA is filed under the name uncultured bacterium. RNAcentral's name for it is "bacterial SSU rRNA". It matches the Rfam family "Bacterial small subunit ribosomal RNA", at positions 28 to 334 of the family's 1533-position model. The record is from RNAcentral.
GACGAACGCUGGCGGCGCGCCUAACACAUGCAAGUCGAACGGACUUUAUGGAAACUGAGGCUUCGGCGGACGAAGAAAUAAAGUUAGUGGCGAACGGGUGAGUAACACGUGAGGAACCUACCUCCCAGAGGGGGAUAACACUUAGAAAUAGGUGCUAAUACCGCAUAAGACCACGACCGGGCAUCCGGAUGAGGUCAAAGGAGCAAUCCGCUGAGAGAUGGCCUCGCGUCCGAUUAGGUAGUUGGUGGGGUAACGGCCUACCAAGCCGACGAUCGGUAGCCGGACUGAGAGGUUGAUCGGCCACAUUGGGACUGAGACACGGCCCAG